AGGAGGUUUAGAACCGGGUAGCGGGCGUUGCUACCAGAGGAGGUUUAGAACCGGGUAGUGGGCGUUGCUACCAGAGGAGGUUUAGAACCGGGUAGCGGGCGUUGCAACCAUAGGAGGUUUAUAACCGGGUGGCGGGCGUUGCUACCAGAGGAGGUUUGGAACCGGGUAGCGGGCGUUGCUACCAGAGGAGGUUUGGAACCGGGUAGUGGGCGUUGCAACCAGAGGAGGUUUGGAACCGGGUAGCGGGCGUUGCUACCAGAGGAGGUUUGGAACCGGGUAGUGGGCGUUGCAACCAGAGGAGGCGUCGGCUCAUAAAUGUAUGGAAUGGAGUGAACGGAAUGGCAGCAAACACGUCGAAGACGUGGUUUCCAUGUGGUUGAUACCAUUCCAUCGACUCCAUUAUUGUGAGCCGUCGCCCCUUCAGCAGCCGCCAAUGGUUGGAACAGACAAUGUUUACCCGCUUCUGUGAGCUUGUGUGGCCUACCACUUCACAAUAACAGGGCAGAAAUUUGACAAACUGACUUGUUGGAAAGGUGGCAUCCUAUGACGGUGCCACGUUGAAAGUCUCUGAGAUCUUCAUUAAGGCCAUUCUACUGACAAUGUUUGUCUAUGGAGAUUGCAUGGCUGUGUGCUCAAUUUUACACCUGUCAGCAACGGGUGUGCUGAAAUAGCCGACCACUAAUUUGAAGGGGUGUCCACGUGUAUGUAUGUAUGUAUGUAUGUAUGUAUGUAUGUAUGUAUAUACACUGCUCAAAAAAAUAAAGGGAACACUUAAACAACAC
Molecule: long non-coding RNA, 782 nt
Filed under: Salmo salar (Atlantic salmon)
Lineage: Eukaryota; Metazoa; Chordata; Actinopteri; Salmoniformes; Salmonidae
Description: lncRNA (ENSSSAG00000087245.1)
Source: RNAcentral